Molecule: long non-coding RNA, 1654 nt
Organism: Marmota flaviventris (yellow-bellied marmot)
Lineage: Eukaryota; Metazoa; Chordata; Mammalia; Rodentia; Sciuridae
Source: RefSeq, a predicted model, not a curated record
CCUCAUUUAAAGGACGCGGAGGAGCGGGAGAGAGAGAUGCUCAGCCGCUCCUCCUCCUCCGGGGCCAGGACUUGCUUCUUAUUUGCUGGGUGCGAUCUCCCUGCAGCCCUCAGAGGCGGUGGCCGCUGCUGCUUUCAUUUCUGGGCUGCCGUAACCAGAAAUGCCUGCUGCCGGCCGCCCGCCCGCAGGCUCUGCUCCAGCCAGGUUGUGUCCUGACCUGGAGUUGAAGGGAGGCAACCGCAGAUGGAAAUCUUGUCUGAAAUCUAUUCUCCAUGUUGUCAAGGGCUGGUAAUGGGCUCAGUCUACCCGGACAUGGGGCUGCAUCAUCCCAGGACUCAAUCCAGAGGGAAGGGUGUCUAUUUGGUGAUCAAGACACCAUGGGGGUGUUAUGGUUUGGAUCUGAAAUGUUGCCCGAAGACUCAUGUGUUGAGGGCUAGUUCCCCAAUGCAUUUGGGGAAGUGAAUGGAUUAUGAGGUUCUGAUCUCAUCAAUGCAUGAAUCCAUUGAUAGGUUCACAGUUUAAGGGACUACUGGAAGAUUCUGGAAACUUUAGGAGGUGGGACCUGGCUGAAGGACACAGGUGUCACUAGUCGGGUGCCUUUGAGGGGCAUAUUUUGUCCUUGCCCCUUCUUCCCAGCCGACAUCCUUCUCUGUCCCAUGUUCCUAGUCAUGAUGUUCUUCCUUUCCUCAGGCCCAAAGAUGGUGCUGGCUGGCCAUAGACUGAAAAAUCUGAAACUUUUCCUUUGCUACUCAGCUCCUCUGCAAAGGAAUUUUAUAAGGCACCAAGACAAAGGAGCCGAGUGAUCAUCCAGUGCAAGGGGAAGCCCUUGAAGGAUACAAGCAGACAACAAUAAAAGACACAGAACGCAGAACAUUACAGCGGGGAGCAAGGGGAAAGAAAGCCAGGAAACCACACCACUCUCUGCUCUGUGUACAGAAGGUCCCUCCAGAUGCCCAUUGUCGCCCUGGGCAGGAACUGACAUUAAUUGAGUGCUUAAUAUUGAAGACUUGGGCCAGGCUGGAUCUCAGAGGCCAAAUCUGUACCGAAAGGCUCACCUGCUGGGAACCUCUCUAACUGGCACUGGAAGAUCCACAGAAUAAAACGGAACUGUGGUGUCAGCUAUCCCAGGCUUCCAACCUGGGAAAUAAAGAAAGGGCAUCUUCCUAAACUGCAUUCCAGACAACUGAAUUGUGACCUCAGGAACCGAUAUUCAAAGAUGAUCAGUUAGAAGGGGAGUGACACUGUAUCCUAGAGUUGAUCCCUCCUUUAUGGCACAGGAGCUGUGUUGGCAGAGUUGUUGAAUGACUGUGGCCUCAGUUUCCUUGUCUGUGAACUAGGGCUUAUCCCACAGUUUAAAAAUUAAAUGAGUGCCAAGGCAGGUGACAAGUGUUAUGUACCAGAUCUGUAGUGACCAAUGAACCCAGAAUAUUCAGCACAAGAUGUCCCCUGAAGCUCACACUCGUGUUAGGAAAGAGGGAGAGGGACCAUCCUUCUGCAGAGGGAUCCUUACUUAUAGCCACCUGUGCAGAGCCGGCUACCAAGGUGAGGUGGAUCUGCAACAUGGCUGAAGGUUUGUCAAGCAAAGAAAACCUAAACAUAUACAUAGACAACUUUGAGGCCUGGGGUAAACUAUGUGAUUAGAGGUUCUUGUUAG